Non-coding RNA from Kogia breviceps (pygmy sperm whale), 670 nucleotides. The record is from RefSeq and is a predicted model, not a curated record. NCBI's taxonomy places the organism in Eukaryota, Metazoa, Chordata, Mammalia, Artiodactyla, Physeteridae.
GAUGCUUCUUUUGAAUUUUACCUGAGGACAUUUACUUCCUCCUCGACACUGCAAAGUACAGGAGGGACUGAGCUGCGAGAGGGCAGAUGGCAUUCCCUGGCAAUGUUCUACUCCAUGAGUUCCUUUUGUGGGGAUGUUUGCAAAGGUGUUCCCUUGACUUUCUCGCCAGCCGGUCUAUUUUUAGGAAUAUUUUUGAGGACUUAGCUGAAUCAUCUGCUUUCCCUACCAACUCUUCUGAGAAAUGCAGGGACCUGCAGGCUAAUAAGCCAAUUUCUUCUCAUGACAAUGACAAGCAAAAUAGGACAAGCUCAACUGCACAAAUACAUUUCAAGCCUCUGCUGCUAAUAUUCCACUGGCCAAGGCCAAAGGCAACGCGACGGAAUGAAAGUAUCAACUUUGGAGUUGAACAAAUGGAAUUUCAUGUUUUAGUUUUCAACCACUUACAAGCUUCAGUUUCCUGUUCCUGAGUUCCCUCCACAGGAAGAAGCAGAGACACCAGGAAUGAUUAUGCAUAAAAGAAAGACCUUGUGAAGAUACAAUGACAAGGCAGCCACCUGAGAGACAGGAGAGGGAGAUAUCAGGAGAAACCAACCUGCCACACCUUGAACUUGAACAACCAGCCUCCAGAACUGUGAGAAAAUACACUUCUGUUGUUGAAGCCACGUAGCCU